Molecule: transfer-messenger RNA, 383 nt
Filed under: Christensenellaceae
Lineage: Bacteria; Bacillati; Bacillota; Clostridia; Christensenellales
Also listed under: 1 other name
Description: UBA5399 sp003510345 Standard tmRNA
Rfam family: transfer-messenger RNA
About the family: Bacterial tmRNA, also known as 10Sa RNA or SsrA, is named for its dual tRNA and mRNA-like properties. Its role is to liberate the mRNA from a stalled ribosome.
Source: RNAcentral
GGGGAUGUACUGGUUUCGACGGGGACAUUUGUGAGGGUGAUAAGCAAGCCGCAGUUGAAUACCCUGCGUUAAAAAGAUUCGCCUAAAUAUAAUUGCUAACACAAACAAAACGGCAGAAGUGGGUGCGCCCGCUCUGCUUGCCGCCUAAUUAACAGGUAGCCUUCCGGCCCCUCUUUCCCUGUUUGGGAGGGAGUCGGAAGCCAAUUUAAAACAGGCUCCCGCAUCGCCAAAGCUUUGAGGCGGCACGGAAAUGAUGAAGCUACUCUUUUUCAAUUUUUGUGGAUAGGGGCGGAAAAGGGGAAAUAAAACAAAAUCCAAUACGCUUGUAGAAAGUUGCCUGGGCAGGUUUUCGGACAGGGGUUCGACUCCCCUCAUCUCCACCA